RNAcentral lists this long non-coding RNA (238 nucleotides) under Chloebia gouldiae (Gouldian finch). Its description in RNAcentral is "Erythrura gouldiae (Gouldian finch) lncRNA (ENSEGOG00005003069.1)". Lineage: Eukaryota; Metazoa; Chordata; Aves; Passeriformes; Passeridae. The record is from RNAcentral.
GAACAAGCAUUUUGGAAGAACCUCAGCCAGUGCUGGCGGAUUGCUAUUGCUUCUCCAUUUCAUGCUUGCUGCUUGAAGUUUCCAGUAUCAGCUGGUGGUGACCACAGGAACUGUAAGAAAAAAAGACACCAGAGAAGAGCUUUGGAAACACAAGGCUGUAGAAAUCACACCACAGGAAGAGUGUGGAGAAAAGAGGUACCUGUCUCCAGUCAUAAAUGAAGACCCUUGUGUGUCCCAG